AGCAGAGCUAUGGAAUGGCAUGGUUGCAGAGAGAGAGAGAGAGAAAGGAGAAAGAGGAGAGAAAUACCAAGUUGUGUGACGGGGAUGAGGGAUGCUAUUUAACAAGAUCUAAUGGGAAUGUUUGCAGCUUGUCACUUUUCUGAGAGAUGCUUCUCCAAAUAGUAUCCGAAGAAUGCCGACUUCCAAGCUUCUUCCACCAUGUGAACUGCUGACUUAGAAGCCAUAAUUUCCAACUAGAAAUAUAGGUGAAAGAAUACAUGGAUGAUCGUGCCCAUCUCUCAGGACUCAAGCCCAGAAAUGAGCUCUGCUGGGAGGAGCUCUUUUAUCUCAGCUGCUUCUCUGCCAUCAAAGCCCACUCAACUUUGAGUAGCUGCCCGCCCCCUCGCCAGUCCUGUCCUCCCCAGAAUCCUGCCUGGAGGUUUUAAUUCAGAGUCUCAAAAGACAAGCAAGGGGGUUGCUUUGAUUGAUCAGUCAAACACAAUCCCUUCACAAUGGUCUUUGGAGACUCAGGCUCUAGACAUGAAAGAUAAAAACAAGAGAUGCCAGCUUGGUUUAAGAUGGAAGU
This 565-nucleotide long non-coding RNA is filed under the name Callithrix jacchus (white-tufted-ear marmoset). RNAcentral's name for it is "lncRNA (ENSCJAG00000073066.1)". The record is from RNAcentral. Lineage: Eukaryota; Metazoa; Chordata; Mammalia; Primates; Cebidae.